CAAACUCAUGCCCGUUGCUGCCUGUGGGGAGUGAAGUGGGGAGCAGUCAGCGAGGAUCAGACGGUUUCCAUCCUGUCGGCUGGGGGACCACUGCUGCAUUUGCAGUGCUAACAUAAACCAGGUAACUGGCAUACUGAGGAUGAAUGGACCUGGCUUCCCCAAAUUCAUUUCGAUAAUGAGGAAACUGAGGCACAGAGAGAUUAUCUAAAGUCACACAUCAAACCAGCAGCAUUUGAAAGCGAGGAGUCUUAACUCUGACGCUGGACACCAGGAGAACAGCACACGGGUGCUCUUGGGCUAUUGGGUCCUGGGGAAAUAAGUGGCAGAGACUGUGGAGC
Molecule: long non-coding RNA, 338 nt
Organism: Cervus elaphus (red deer)
Lineage: Eukaryota; Metazoa; Chordata; Mammalia; Artiodactyla; Cervidae
Exons: 3
Source: RefSeq, a predicted model, not a curated record